Molecule: small nucleolar RNA, 137 nt
Organism: Ceratitis capitata (Mediterranean fruit fly)
Lineage: Eukaryota; Metazoa; Arthropoda; Insecta; Diptera; Tephritidae
Product: small nucleolar RNA snoR639/H1
Exons: 1
Source: RefSeq, a predicted model, not a curated record
ACCCCAUGAUAUAAGCCGGCAGGAAAAAGAUAAUAACAUUUUCCUGUGACUAUGAUUGGGAACAAAAAUGUUUAUCCGAUGUGUGUAUGGGGCAAUAUUUACUAAAUUGAUUGCAACAAAGAAUGAUUCGGAGCACA